Astyanax mexicanus (Mexican tetra) is the source of this 2357-nucleotide long non-coding RNA. RefSeq lists it as uncharacterized. Lineage: Eukaryota; Metazoa; Chordata; Actinopteri; Characiformes; Acestrorhamphidae. The transcript is spliced from 5 exons. The record is from RefSeq and is a predicted model, not a curated record.
UUGGUGUCUCUGUGUGUUUACGGUGUUUUGGUGUCUCUGUGUGUGUUUAUGGUGUUUUGGUGUCUCUGUGUGUGUUUAAGGUGUUUUGGUGUCUCUGUGUGUGUUUAUGGUGUUUUGGUGUCUCUGUGUGUGUUUAUGGUGUUUUGGUGUCUGUGUGUGUGUUUACGGUGUUGUGGUCUGUGUGUGUGUUUACGGUGUUGUGGUCUCUGUGUGUGUUUACGGUGUUUUGGUGUCUGUGUGUGUUUACGGUGUUUUGGUGUCUGUGUGUGUUUACGGUGUUUUGGUGUCUGUGUGUGUUUACGGUGUUUUGGUGUCUGUGUGUGUGUUUAAGGUGUUUUGGUGUCUCUGUGUGUGUUUAAGGUGUUUUGGUGUCUCUGUGUGUGUUUAAGGUGUUUUGGUGUCUCUGUGUGUGUUUAUGGUGUUUUGGUGUCUCUGUGUGUGUUUACAGUGUUUUGGUCUCUGUGUGUGUUUACAGUGUUUUGGUGUUGUCUAUGUGUGUGUUUACAGUGUUUUGGUCUCUGUGUUUAUGGUGUUUUGGUCUGUGUGUGUUUAUGGUGUUUUGGUCUCUGUGUGUGUUUAAGGUGUUUUGGUGUCUCUGUGUGUGUUUACGGUGUUUUGGUGUCUCUGUGUGUGUUUACGGUGUUUUGGUGUCUCUGUGUGUGUUUACGGUGUUUUGGUGUCUCUGUGUGUGUUAAAGGUCUUUUGGUGUCUCUGUGUGUUUACGGUGUUUUGGUGUCUCUGUGUGUGUUUACAGUGUUUUGGUCUCUGUGUGUGUUUACAGUGUUUUGGUGUUGUCUCUGUGUGUGUUUACGGUGUUUUGGUGUCUCUGUGUGUUUAAGGUGUUUUGGUGUCUGUGUGUGUUUACGGUGUUUUGGUCUCUGUGUGUGUUUAAGGUGUUUUGGUGUCUCUGUGUGUGUUUACACUGUUUUGGUGUCUCUGUGUGUGUCUGAGGUGUUUUGGUGUCUCUGUGUGUGUUUGAGGUGUUUUGGUGUCUCUGUGUGUGUUUACAGUGUUUUGGUCUCUGUGUGUGUUUACAGUGUUUUGGUGUUGUCUCUGUGUGUGUUUACGGUGUUUUGGUGUCUCUGUGUGUGUUUACGGUGUUUUGGUGUGUGUGUGUUUACGGUGUUUUGGUCUCUGUGUGUGUCUGAGGUGUUUUGGUGUCUCUGUGUGUGUUUGAGGUGUUUUGGUGUCUCUGUGUGUGUUUACAGUGUUUUGGUCUCUCUGUGUGUUUAAGGUGUUUUGGUGUCUCUGUGUGUUUACGGUGUUUUGGUGUCUCUGUGUGUUUACGGUGUUUUGGUGUCUCUGUGUGUGUUUACGGUGUUUUGGUGUCUCUGUGUGUGUUUACGGUGUUUUGGUGUCUCUGUGUGUGUUUACGGUGUUUUGGUGUCUCUGUGUGUGUUUAAGGUGUUUUGGUGUCUCUGUGUGUGUUUAAGGUGUUUUGGUGUCUCUGUGUGUGUUUAUGGUGUUUUGGUGUCUCUGUGUGUGUUUAUGGUGUUUUGGUGUCUGUGUGUGUGUUUACGGUGUUGUGGUCUGUGUGUGUGUUUACGGUGUUGUGGUGUCCCUGUGUGUGUUUACGGUGUUUUGGUCUCUGUGUGUGUUUAAGGUGUUUUGGUGUCUCUGUGUGUGUUUACAGUGUUUUGGUCUCUCUGUGUGUUUAAGGUGUUUUGGUGUUGUCUCUGUGUGUGUUUACGGUGUUUUGGUGUCUCUGUGUGUGUUUACGGUGUUUUGGUGUCUCUGUGUGUGUUUACGGUGUUUUGGUGUGUGUGUGUGUUUACGGUGUUUUGGUCUCUGUGUGUGUCUGAGGUGUUUUGGUGUCUCUGUGUGUGUUUGAGGUGUUUUGGUCUCUGUGUGUUUAAGGUGUUUUGGUGUCUCUGUGUGUGUUUAAGGUGUUUUGGUGUCUCUGUGUGUGUUUAAGGUGUUUUGUUGUCUCUGUGUGUGUUUACAGUGUUUUGGUGUCUGUGUGUGUGUUUAAGGUGUUUUGGUGUCUCUGUGUGUUUACGGUGUUUUGGUGUCUCUGUGUGUGUUUACAGUGUUUUUGUGUCUCUGUGUGUGUUUACGGUGUUUUGGUCUCUGUGUGUGUUUAAGGUGUUUUGGUGUCUCUGUGUGUGUUUACGGUGUUUUGGUCUCUGUGUGUGUUUACAGUGUUUUGGUGUCUGUGUGUGUGUUUAUGGUGUUUUGGUCUCUGUGUGUGUUUAUGGUGUUUUGGUCUCUGUGUGUGUUUAAGGUGUUUUGGUGUCUCUGUGUGUGUUUACAGUGUUUUGGUCUCUGUGUGUGUUUAAGGUGUUUUGGUGUCUCUGUGUGUGUUUACAGUGUUUUGGUGUCUGUGUGUGUGUUUAUGGUGUUUUGGUCUCUGUGUG